Molecule: long non-coding RNA, 167 nt
Organism: Saccostrea echinata
Lineage: Eukaryota; Metazoa; Mollusca; Bivalvia; Ostreida; Ostreidae
Exons: 2
Source: RefSeq, a predicted model, not a curated record
GCAGCAAGUGUUUCCACCAAUAAAAUAAAAAGAAUUGAUUUCAUCCAGAAGAACUGUUUGAACUGUGGACUGUUUGAAAUAUUUUGCACCUGCUCAGAAAUCCCUUCACAGCCUGCCUUUGAAUUUGAAAAGCUGUUUUUAAUUAAAUAAAUUUUCUAGAUAAAUAA